AGGGCCACAUAGUUAACUUGCAUUAGCUUUUGGUUUUCAACAUAGGAGUCCCUCCCCCUGACUUGCAUACGCUUAGUUUGUGUUGUAGCCCUCUUAAGUUAAUUAAGUAGAAGUUUAUGACACAGUAAAGUAAUAGCAGUGCUGUAGGAGGAUAGUAGUGUACGCCCCCUGGAUAGAGUAAACAUCCUGUCCAGAACAGAGACCCCCUUAUCUGUGAGACCAUGUGGUCCAUGCCUCAUUUUGCAGACUGGUAGAAGGCAGGGCAGCAUCACUUAGUUUUGCUCUGCAGAUUCCCUUGAAAAUCUAUGGCUUUUCUACCCUGAAAGUUUGGUCUGCUGCUGGAUUCGGUUGUUUAAGCUGUUGUUUUCGAUUUAUGACCUUCUUUUGAUGCUGUAUUGGUUUUAAUUUUAGUUGGUUUUAAAUCUUAGGUUUUUAUUGUUGGUUUAAAUUUUAAAUCUUCGUUCUAGGUUUUAGUUGUUGGUGUCUUUAUUUUUUAUCUGGUUUAUGGUUUUUGGUUGGUUUAUGGCUUGAAGUGAUUGAGUUGUUUUUUUGUCUAUUGGUUCUUGUCAUUUUAGAUUUUUUAGUCUAUUUUUGCUUCAUUUACUUAGUUUCAGUUGUGGUCAUUAUACUGAGUUUUUUUGGUUCAUAGCAGUUUUUUAUCUUUAGGGAAAGUCAAAGGUCAUUUACAUUUGCUUGGUUAGGAGAACAUCAAGGUUGGUCGAGUGUCAGGUACAAAAUCCGUUGUUCUUCGAGUCUCAUAAUUUUAUUUUUGGUUUAGUUUGUUUUUUUUAAUUGUCGUUCAGGAGAAAUAAAUGCGUUCCAGUGAUAGCUCUUGAA
Molecule: long non-coding RNA, 837 nt
Organism: Patiria miniata (bat star)
Lineage: Eukaryota; Metazoa; Echinodermata; Asteroidea; Valvatida; Asterinidae
Exons: 2
Source: RefSeq, a predicted model, not a curated record